GCCGCUAUAGCUCAGUGGUAGAGCACUGGUCUCGUAAACCAGGGGUCGUGAGUUCGAGCCUCACUGGCGGCA
RNAcentral lists this transfer RNA (72 nucleotides) under Rhipicephalus microplus (southern cattle tick). RNAcentral's name for it is "tRNA-Thr". It matches the Rfam family "tRNA". Rfam says of the family: Transfer RNA (tRNA) molecules are approximately 80 nucleotides in length. Their secondary structure includes four short double-helical elements and three loops (D, anti-codon, and T loops). Lineage: Eukaryota; Metazoa; Arthropoda; Arachnida; Ixodida; Ixodidae. The record is from Rfam by way of RNAcentral.